AACAAAGAUAUAUAUAUACAUAUAUAUAUAUAUAUAUUUACACACACAAUUUAAAUAUAUUAAAUUGCAAUGUGAUAUUCAUUAGAUAUGAUACAUGUCAUAGUUAGA
Molecule: long non-coding RNA, 108 nt
Organism: Nanorana parkeri
Lineage: Eukaryota; Metazoa; Chordata; Amphibia; Anura; Dicroglossidae
Exons: 3
Source: RefSeq, a predicted model, not a curated record